RNAcentral lists this ribosomal RNA (485 nucleotides) under uncultured bacterium. RNAcentral's name for it is "bacterial SSU rRNA". It matches the Rfam family "Bacterial small subunit ribosomal RNA", at positions 61 to 518 of the family's 1533-position model. The record is from RNAcentral.
GUCGAACGGCUUUUCUAUGGAAGCUUGCUUCCACUGAGAAGAUAGUGGCGAACGGGUGAGUAACACGUGGGUAACCUGCCCAUAAGAGGGGGGAUAACAUCCGGAAACGGGUGCUAAUACCGCAUAGUUUUCUUGAUCGCAUGAUCGGGAAAGGAAAGACGGCCUUUGUGCUGUCGCUUAUGGAUGGACCCGCGGCGUAUUAGUUAGUUGGUGAGGUAACGGCUCACCAAGACGAUGAUACGUAGCCGACCUGAGAGGGUGAUCGGCCACAUUGGGACUGAGACACGGCCCAAACUCCUACGGGAGGCAGCAGUAGGGAAUCUUCCGCAAUGGACGAAAGUCUGACGGAGCAACGCCGCGUGAGUGAAAGAAGGUUUUCGGAUCGUAAAACUCUGUUGUCAGAGAAGAACAAGUUGGAGAGUAACUGCUCCAGCCUUGACGGUAUCUGACCAGAAAGCCACGGCUAACUACGUGCCAGCCGCCGC